RNAcentral lists this transfer RNA (58 nucleotides) under Karenia brevis. Its description in RNAcentral is "partial tRNA". The record is from RNAcentral. Lineage: Eukaryota; Dinophyceae; Gymnodiniales; Kareniaceae.
AACAUAGCUGAGUGGUUGCAAAGCAUUUGCUUUGGGCACCAUUGCUGCUUGUUCGAAU